RNAcentral lists this ribosomal RNA (468 nucleotides) under uncultured bacterium. RNAcentral describes it as "partial 16S ribosomal RNA". It matches the Rfam family "Bacterial small subunit ribosomal RNA", at positions 28 to 507 of the family's 1533-position model. The record is from RNAcentral.
GACGAACGCUGGCGGCGUGCUUAACACAUGCAAGUCGAACGGAAAGGCCCUGCUUUUGUGGGGUGCCCGAGUGGCGAACGGGUGAGUAACACGGGAGUAACCUGCCCUUGACUUUGGGAUAACUUCAGGAAACGGGGCCUAAUCCCGGAUAGGAGCUCCUGCUCCAUGGUGGGGGUUGGAAAGUUUCGGCGGUUGGGGAUGGACUCGCGGCUUAUCGGCUUGUUGGUGGGGUAGUGGCUUACCAAGGCUUUGACGGGUAGCCGGCCUGAGAGGGUGACCGGCCACAUUGGGACUGAGAUACGGCCCAGACUCCUACGGGAGGCAGCAGUGGGGAAUAUUGCACAAUGGGCGGAAGCCUGAUGCAGCAACGCCGCGUGCGGGAUGACGGCCUUCGGGUUGUAAACCGCUUUCGCCUGUGACGAAGCGUGAGUGACGGUAAUGGGUAAAGAAGCACCGGCUAACUACGUG